CGACCCACGCGCGGAGCUGCCGGGGGCUCCUUAGCACCUGGGCGCCGGGACCCUCGCCCUUCCGCAGCCUUCACUCCAGCCCUCUGCUCCCGCACGCCAUGAGGUCGCCUUUCUACCGCUGCCAGAACACCACCUCGGUGGAAAAGGGCAACUCGGCGAUGAUGGGCGCGGUGCUCUUCAGCACCGGCCUCUUGGGCAACCUGCUGGCCCUGGGGCUGCUGGCGCGCUCGGGGCUGGGGUGGUGCUCCCCGCGUUCACUGCGCCCGCCGCCCUCGGUCUUCUACGUGCUGGUGUGUGGCCUGACGGUCACCGACUUGCUGGGCAAGUGCCUCCUAAGCCCCGUGGUGCUGGCUGCCUACGCUCAGAACCGGAGUCUACGGGUGCUUGCGCCCGCAUUGGACAACUCGCUGUGCCAAGCAUUCGCCUUCUUCAUGUCCUUCUUUGGGCUCUCCUCGACACUGCAACUCCUGGCCAUGGCACUGGAGUGCUGGCUCUCCCUAGGGCACCCCUUCUUCUACCGACGGCACAUCACCCUGCGCCGGGGCGCACUGGUGGCCCCAGUGGUGAGCGCCUUCUGCCUGGCUUUCUGUGCGCUACCUUUCAUGGGCUUCGGGAAGUUAGUGCAGUACUGCCCCGGCACCUGGUGCUUUAUCCAAAUGGUCCACGAGGAGGGCUCGCUGUCGGUGCUGGGGUACUCUGUGCUCUACUCCAGCCUCAUGGCGCUGCUGGUCUUCGCCACCGUGCUGUGCAACCUCGGCGCCAUGCGCAACCUCUACGCGAUGCACCGGCGGCUGCAGCAGCAGCGGCGCUCCUGCACCAGGGACCGUGCCGAUCCGCGUGCGGACGGGAGGGAAGCGUCCCCGCAGCCCCUGGAGGAGCUGGAUCACCUUCUGCUGCUGGCACUGAUGACCGUGCUCUUCACUAUGUGUUCUCUGCCCGUAAUUGCAUUUGUUCCUGGAGUCCCCGCCAAGACACCUGGGAGUAGGUGAGACUUGAGGAAACUUUUUCAGUGUUGCUUCUCUCCUUUCUCCUACCCCCAAGUAUCGCGCUUACUAUGGAGCAUUUAAGGAUAUCAAGGAGAAGAUCAGGACCUCUGAAGAAGCAGAAGACCUCCGAGCCUUGAGAUUUCUAUCUGUGAUUUCAAUUGUGGACCCUUGGAUUUUUAUCAUUUUCAGAACUCCGGUAUUUCGGAUAUUUUUUCACAAGAUUUUCAUAAGACCUCUUACGUACAGGAACUGGUGCAGCAGUUCCACUCACAUGGAAUCCAGUCUGUGACGGUGUUUUUCACUCUGUGGUGCGCUGAAGAAUAUGUCACAUG
Molecule: RNA transcript, 1318 nt
Organism: Mandrillus leucophaeus (drill)
Lineage: Eukaryota; Metazoa; Chordata; Mammalia; Primates; Cercopithecidae
Gene: PTGDR
Gene name: prostaglandin D2 receptor (DP)
Exons: 3
Source: RefSeq, a predicted model, not a curated record